AAGUCAUUACCAAGGCUUUUAGAAUGUGGUUUCUUGUUUGCUGUGGAUGUGACCUUAAAGAAACGCCCACUAGGUUUGUUUGCUGCUACAAUGGUAACAUUCAUCCUUGUGGGAACAUUU
Erinaceus europaeus (western European hedgehog) is the source of this 120-nucleotide small nucleolar RNA. Lineage: Eukaryota; Metazoa; Chordata; Mammalia; Eulipotyphla; Erinaceidae. The record is from Ensembl.